RNAcentral lists this ribosomal RNA (492 nucleotides) under uncultured bacterium. RNAcentral describes it as "partial 16S ribosomal RNA". It matches the Rfam family "Bacterial small subunit ribosomal RNA", at positions 29 to 507 of the family's 1533-position model. The record is from RNAcentral.
AGUGAACGCUGGCGGUAGGCCUAACACUUGCAAGUCGAACGGCAGCACAGUAAGAGCUUGCUCUUACGGGUGGCGAGUGGCGGACGGGUGAGGAAUACAUCGGAAUCUACUUUUUCGUGGGGGAUAACGUAGGGAAACUUACGCUAAUACCGCAUACGACCUACGGGUGAAAGCAGGGGAUCUUCGGACCUUGCGCGAUUGAAUGAGCCGAUGUCGGAUUAGCUAGUUGGCGGGGUAAAGGCCCACCAAGGCGACGAUCCGUAGCUGGUCUGAGAGGAUGAUCAGCCACACUGGAACUGAGACACGGUCCAGACUCCUACGGGAGGCAGCAGUGGGGAAUAUUGGACAAUAGGCGCAAGCCUGAUCCAGCCAUACCGCGUGGGUGAAGAAGGCCUUCGGGUUGUAAAGCCCUUUUGUUGGGAAAGAAAAGCAGCAGGUUAAUACCCCGCUGUUCUGACGGUACCCAAAGAAUAAGCACCGGCUAACUUCGUG